Molecule: ribosomal RNA, 254 nt
Filed under: uncultured bacterium
Lineage: Bacteria
Description: partial 16S ribosomal RNA
Rfam family: Bacterial small subunit ribosomal RNA
Source: RNAcentral
UACGAAGGGGGGCUAGCGUUGCUCGGAAUUACUGGGCGUAAAGGGCGCGUAGGCGGAUAGUUUAGUCAGAGGUGAAAGCCCAGGGCUCAACCUUGGAAUUGCCUUUGAUACUGGCUAUCUUGAGUAUGGAAGAGGUAUGUGGAACUCCGAGUGUAGAGGUGAAAUUCGUAGAUAUUCGGAAGAACACCAGUGGCGAAGGCGACAUACUGGUCCAUUACUGACGCUGAGGCGCGAAAGCGUGGGGAGCAAACAGG